UACGUAGGUGGCAAGCGUUAUCCGGAAUUACUGGGCGUAAAGGGUCCGUAGGUGGGUAUUUAAGUCUGGUGUGACAACGCUCGGCUUAACUGAGCGAGUGCAUUGGAAACUGAAAGCCUUGAGUCACAGAGAGGGAUGCAGAAUUCCGGGUGUAGUGGUGGAAUGCGUAGAGAUCCGGAGGAAUACCAGAGGCGCAAGCGGCAUCCUGGCUGAGGACUGACACUGAGGCACGAAAGCGUGGGGAGCAAACAGG
RNAcentral lists this ribosomal RNA (253 nucleotides) under uncultured bacterium. Its description in RNAcentral is "partial 16S ribosomal RNA". It matches the Rfam family "Bacterial small subunit ribosomal RNA", at positions 524 to 776 of the family's 1533-position model. The record is from RNAcentral.